Long non-coding RNA from Amphiprion ocellaris (clown anemonefish), 1446 nucleotides. RefSeq lists it as uncharacterized. Lineage: Eukaryota; Metazoa; Chordata; Actinopteri; Pomacentridae. The transcript has 4 exons. The record is from RefSeq and is a predicted model, not a curated record.
CCGAAGCAGGGAUCGAAACACUGUCUCGGAACACUUCCGCUUCAAACCCUCGGCACUGUGUCGAGCAAACUGGCUCGAGCGUAACAUCACUAUUUAUUACAGGUAUCGUUAUCACUAAAGGAGGCAGAAGAGUAACUAAACAUGUGACACACUGAGCAGGAAAGAGAAGGAGAGGAAGAGGGAGAAGCCAUGCUAACUGCUAAGUGCUAGGCUAGCGGACAGAGAUAACAGAUUAACUUAGAAUUAAGUACUGAGAGGGUUCGUGAAGAAAACGAGUGUAUGUUACGAUUCAAAUAUUACCGCUACACAGAUUUAAUGAAUAUCAAAUUAGAUGGAGUGGAUAAGCUGCAACAGUCACAGAACACAACACAGCGCUACAACAGGAAGUGACGCAAUACGCUCACCGUAACGUCAGACGUCAGCAGGGAAUGCAGAACCGGCUGUCUGGCCAGAGAGGACCGCUGGAAAAGAAGCUGGAGGAGAAGCUGGAGCAGAAGCUGGAGGAGAGGAUAGCCGCCAUGGAAGCAAAAUUAAACACUUUCUCCGGCAGCGAGGAAAUUCAGCGGAAAAGAGGAGAGCACAGUCCUAAAAUUGCGACUGGGCUCGCCUCACAAUGAGACAGUCAGGACAUAUUUAGUUAAAACUUUGGCUGAAGUCCAGAUGUGGAGGAUGUGGAGACAGACGUCCUUCUAUCUGAUUGUAAAAAGCAUUUUGAAACUCUACGGAGGAACUACCGCUACAGUCAACCCAACAUGGCGGAUCAGGCGGAGGCCAUAAAGGCUUCUGCCCCGAGUCGCCACAGAAGAAAGAGGCUGCUGGAUGCCAGGAAGACAGUCCUUGCUCCAGAUGAAGAGAACUUCUGGAAGGGCAUCACAGCUGACAUGAUGUCAGAUGAGGAGGACGGCAGCGUUGACGGGGUGCGUGGAUGGAUAGUACGGCCUCCAUCCUUCCACAGCCAGGAGCUAGCCAACCUGUGUGCAGCCCUACAGGCUGGAGGCUGAUGUAAAGUACACAGCUCUACAUGACAGGUGUUUUCACAAUGGACAGCCGUCUGAUAGACUGAAGCCACUGAAGUUCAACACGGCAGCAGCCAGAAAACAUUUUAAGCCAGAGCUGAUGCUUGAGACCAGCCUGGAGUGAGAGAUGAACUUGGCCAUUGUUUUGUUUUUGUUUUGAAAUGUGUGUGUGUGUGUGUGUGUGUGUAUAUAUAUAUGUGUGUGUGUGUGUGUGUGUGUGUGUGUGUGUGUGUGUGUGUGUGUGUGUGUGUGUGUGUGUGUGUAUAUAUAUAUACAUAUAUAUAAAUCAUUUUUUUGGUUGAACUUUGUACAAUUUUAUUUCAUUUUUUAAAAUUUUUGGGAAAUUUUUUGUUUUUAAAGACAGUUUAUUUUAAUUUUGAUUUCGGAUUUCUGGAACUCUAGACUGUUCAAUAAAGCUCUUGUUUUUCAA